CCAAACAUUCCCAUUGUUUUACCUUCUCCAUCUGAAGCCCUAGUCCUCCAUGGUUACAGGCUUUUCAGCUCCAAACCAUCCACAAACUCUCACCAUCCAUUCCUCGCACUCAUUCCAACAUCAAUCUGGAUCCAAUCUCCCAAAAAAAUCCCCAAGUCUCCACUUCAAGUCCGGGUGGAAAAUCAGAAGAAAGAAAUAAUGUUUCCAUUCCCGUGCUCUCAAGACUCGACUUGACUCAUAACUAUCGUUAAGUGAUUGUUCUUGCUUAGAAUAAUCAAUUCAUGAUAAUUUUGGCUCAUAUCGAGAUUGGUUCGUCCCGGACCGGACUAAGAACAUUUGGCCGAGUUCUUCGUCUUCAGUGAUCCAUGGCGGAUAGCGUCAGUACUCUCAUUGCUUCACCCUGUUCUUCUGGUCUUCUGUUUAUCUUCUUGUUUUGGUUUUCAUAUUUUUCUGUGAUUCGAAUUAGUUUCAGUCUAAUUAAAAUCAGUAGGUUUUAAGCUCUCCAAUCAAGUAACUAGAUUAGUAUUUUGGUAGAAUCUAUAUUUGUUUGAUUUGGGAUUCUUGUUGGUUGAUUCGGACUUGUUAUUUACUUUGGGGCUUUUGUCAACCUUUGCUUAAACUGUUACCAAGCUGAUUCGUGACUAGUUUUAGGGCCUAUGGAAGGUUAGAUUUGGGAGAGCACUAAGAGCUCGUCUCUAUUUGAAAUCCCAAAAACUUUGGGUCAGGAUUGUUUUGUUUGGUUGCUAAUAGUAAAUCAUAAGGGGAUGGAGGAUAGUUUAGGAAGUUUAUGUGAGGGAAUCUCUUAGUCACUAACUAGGAAGCUUCAUGAAGCUGACUUGGGGAAUGUUUUACAAUUCUAAAAAACUAGUUAAGUAUUCCUAAGCAAAGCAAGAAUUAGUGAAAGGCCUAUGUGCAAAAUUAAAUUGUCUAGGUUGUCAUACCUUUCUUGCCUAUAAAGGCAUUAUUUCUUGCCAUUCAAGGAAGAUUUCCAAGAGCUAGAAUUCUGAAAAAUACAAACGGCUGUUGAAAUGACUGUUUCAUUGAGUUUCCUUGAUGAUCUCUUAGAUCUCCAAUUCUUGAACUGAAUUCUGACUUAUCUAAGGGAGGAGAUGGCUUGAUUUUGAUACUUAAGAGAGAGAAAUCAGAAAAGAAAAAAUGAAUGGCUAGAAAACUACUGAAAACUACUGUUCCAAUGAUAUUUUUUGCAACUUUUGAAGUUUUACUUUUCUGAUAAAUGAUCUUAUUCAUCUGGGUUUGAUUGUGGUUCGAAUUGGGAACUGGGGCUUGUUUCUGUUGCUGUUAGUCUAUUGUUGCUGCUUCAUUUUAAAGUUUCAAGCUAAUUUCUGGUUUUUUGGUUGGUAUUCAGGUAUGCAUUUCUGCAUCCUCCUUAACUAUAUUUGAUUUGGAAUUAGAAAUGAAGAUCAGGAGCUUUGAUUUGUAUUCACCAUUAGUUUGUUCAUAGUUUAGCUCUUUCAUUUUUCUUGCUCUUGAUUUCUACCUUUACAUCUUUGGAUAUGUAAUUAGAAACUGAUAGCCAAUACAUUGUAUGCUGGUCAUUAAUUUGGAUGAGACUUCUCAAAUAUAGUCAUUUUGUGUUGCUUAUUUGUUGUUUGGAUUUGAAAUGGUUUAAGUCUGGCAGAUUCAGGGUGUUUUUUUGGAUUCUUAAGUAUGUAUUAGAGAUAUGCGACCAAGUUUGAUGUAAUAAGGAUCUCAUAUGCGAGUUGGGUUAAUGGACAAUACUGUAGUGCCUGAACUUGACUUGCGUGCAUGGUUGCUCAUUUCAGCAAAAAGUUGGACAUGUUCUUGAGAUCCAGUUUAGUCUCUUUAAGAUCAGUUUAAUUUUCUUUCUUGUUUUUACAUCUUGAACUUUACAUCUUGGUCCCUCAUCGUUUGUUUUGGAAUUCGA
This 1906-nucleotide long non-coding RNA is filed under the name Nicotiana benthamiana. RNAcentral describes it as "long non-coding RNA (NBEN_LNC004409)". Lineage: Eukaryota; Viridiplantae; Streptophyta; Magnoliopsida; Solanales; Solanaceae. The record is from RNAcentral.